Pimephales promelas (fathead minnow) is the source of this 1161-nucleotide non-coding RNA. The record is from RefSeq and is a predicted model, not a curated record. Lineage: Eukaryota; Metazoa; Chordata; Actinopteri; Cypriniformes; Leuciscidae.
GCCACCUUCUUCUUGAUAAAGAAGAACCCUGCACCAGCAGGCGAUGAAGAGGGACGGAUGAGACCGGCGUUUGGAGAAUCGUGAAUCUACUAGUCCAUAGCCUCUCUUUCUGGACCAGACAGGGAAAAAAGAUGACUCUUGGGCGUAGAACUGCCUGGGAGGAGGUCAAUGGCGCAGUCCUUCUUCUAGGCCCAAUGGAGCAGUCUCAGACUCAUAUUCUGACUGGAACACGGCGGAGCAGUCGGACCCUCUGGCUUCCACGGCGGGGAGGACCCGUCGGAAGGCCACGGCGGUGAGGACCCUCUGGGACUGCAACAGGCUGGGCAGACGUAACGUGAACAGUCUUUGGCUGGGCAGGCAGGAUUUGUACAGUCUCUGGCUGGGCAGGCGUGAUAUGAACAGUCUCAGCGUGGCUGACGUGCACCAGCGGUGAAGGCUCAGCUGGCCCAGACGGAACCAGUGGUGAAGAGGGACUUGAGCUGGACUGGACCAGCAGUGAAGAAAGCUUUGAACACACGGUCUCUGGCUGGACAGUCCCUAGGCUGGACGAGACCAGCGGUGAGGACGUCUCGGCGGGGUUGGAUGGAACCAGCGGUUCUCCAGUCCAGACCAGAGAUUUGUGGGAGACAAUGGAUAUUGAAAUUAAUGAGGCACCGUGGACGCACAGCCUGUCAGGAGCGAUCACCAGCUGCCUGACUGCGUCCCCAACCCCUGCCCCGAGAGAAGAGAGAACAACAACACAGGGAGAAAAACUAUGUUUUUUAGCCAGAUAUAUUAGCAUAAGACCUGUGUUUUAUUCACAAACUUCUCAACUUGAACCUUUCCAUGUAAUAAAUGAAUGAAAGCGUUUUGUUUCAUAGUGCCCACACAAUGUCAUGGCAGCUUUAUCAAUGGCUUGAGCGGUUUGCCUCAAAACUAUUGCUUUCUCGACGGAGAGCUCAGCUGGAGAGCUCAAACAUGGACUGCUCAAAAAUCUGUAGUUACAUGAGAGCUAUGGGACCGAGCGUGAGCAAAAUCUAGUGAAAAGAUGUUAACGAGUGCACUAAGAGGACGCAAAAUGAAACUAAUGAAAACGUCUCCAUUAAUUUGAGCACGUAGUCAUUUAAUGCAAUACUUUAAAAGCCUUUUUCAAGCCAUUGAAUUUUUUAUAAUAAUAUAUUC